This is a non-coding RNA of Lonchura striata (white-rumped munia), 221 nucleotides long. Lineage: Eukaryota; Metazoa; Chordata; Aves; Passeriformes; Estrildidae. The record is from RefSeq and is a predicted model, not a curated record.
UUGAUUCUUGUGGAUGGAUUGUGACUCCCUAAAGGUUGCAAAGAGAGAAAGAGUUGAAUUAUCCUGCUACUUACCAAGAGGAGAAAAACAGCAUAAGAGCACUGGUUAAUGGGUGUGCUUUGGAUUCACACUGGAUCCUGGGAGCAGAAUUGUUCCCUGUGGAUGUACAAAUAUCAUGGUAACUCCCCUCAGGACCAGGGUGUGGCAAUUCAGUGCAGCAU